UAUAUAACCCGUUAAUGUCGCCGGGUAGAUCUUAUACUCAUUCCUUUCUAUUGAAGCCACCAAAUCUGAGGAUCGAAGCAAUUAUCGAAGCUCUUCAAGAAAAGAAAGUGGUGAUUCUACUAGAUGGCAUAUCCUGUUACUACAACCCGUAGCUACACAUGUUCCUUUUUUUACAGCUACAUAUGUAACGACCCUUUGUUAUAUAUGUUAAUGACCAGCUUGUUGGAAUAUGUUAAUGGAGUUUAUGCAAGAGAUGAGUCAGCAAAGGUAGCAGAUAAACAGCAAAGACAGACCGUCAAUGGAAGCUCCACCCCUUCUUAGUGAUCUGUGUUUUCGUUUACUAGUAAUAUGUAAUGUGAGACUCUUAUUAUUUUGUCUAUGACGUGUUGUUAAAAAUGUUUUGGCCUUCCGAACUUCUGCCCUGAAGUCGACCUCAACAUAUUUGUGUUGCUUUUGGGCUAUAUGCAUCCAAUUUUGUGUAACUUGCUUGUAGGCAAUGUAGCUUUUUACAUGUUUACCAGUACAUUAAUCUCUAACACAUGUUAUGUGUAACGUGCUGAAAGUCUUAACACACGUUAUAAUAGAGCCUUGACACACGUUAUAUCAGUUAUACCGUUAUGGGUAUAGUAAACGGCCCACCAUUUUUCUUAGUGCUAUGUAUUUUCGUUUACUAGUAA
This is a long non-coding RNA of Helianthus annuus (common sunflower), 677 nucleotides long. RefSeq lists it as uncharacterized. The transcript has 2 exons. NCBI's taxonomy places the organism in Eukaryota, Viridiplantae, Streptophyta, Magnoliopsida, Asterales, Asteraceae. The record is from RefSeq and is a predicted model, not a curated record.